Molecule: ribosomal RNA, 379 nt
Filed under: uncultured eukaryote
Lineage: Eukaryota
Description: partial 18S ribosomal RNA
Rfam family: Eukaryotic small subunit ribosomal RNA
Source: RNAcentral
CAAUAGCGUAUAUUAAAGUUGUUGCGGUUAAAAAGCUCGUAGUUGGAUUUCUGCUGAGAACGACCGGUCCGCCCUUUGGGUGUGUAUCUGGCUCUUUCUUGGCAUCUUCUUGGUGAACGUUGCUGCACUUGACUGUGUGGAGCGCUACCCAGGACUUUUACUUUGAGGAAAUUAGAGUGUUUCAAGCAGGCAUACGCCUUGAAUACAUUAGCAUGGAAUAAUAAGAUAGGACCUAGUUACUAUUUUGUUGGUUUGCAUAGCUGGGUAAUGAUGAAUAGGAACAGUCGGAGGUAUUCGUAUUUAAUUGUCAGAGGUGAAAUUCUUGGAUUUCUGAAAGACGAACCACUGCGAAAGCAUUUACCAAGGAUGUUUUCAUUAA